RNAcentral lists this long non-coding RNA (1560 nucleotides) under Theobroma cacao (cacao). RNAcentral describes it as "long non-coding RNA (TCAC_LNC006132)". The record is from RNAcentral. Lineage: Eukaryota; Viridiplantae; Streptophyta; Magnoliopsida; Malvales; Malvaceae.
CCGAAUACAUAGCUGCUACUGCUGCUACAAACCAUGUCUUGUGGUUGAGAAAAAUCCUUGAUAACAUUGGGUUUAAACAAGGAAAGGAAACUAUUCUCUGGGUGGACAAACAAUCUGAUAUUGACAUAGCAAACAAUCCAGUGCAUCACGGGAAGACCAAACACACUAGGGUCAGAUAUCAUGCCAUUUGAGAUGCUAUUAAAGAGAAAGAAAUUUCAAUGCUCCACUGCUCUUCAAAUGAACAGCUAGCAGAUAUUCUGACAAAAGGGCUAAGCAAGGAAAGGUUUGCACAUCUCAGGACUAAGCUUGGAAUCGGAGAGAUACAUUCCAAAGAGGUGUGUUGAAUUUGAAAUGUAUCUCCAUUUAACCCUUCAAUGGCAAUGAUUUACUUUAAGAAUUAAGUUUUAUUUUAUUUCUUGGUAUUUGCCUUUAUCUUAUUUUCUGUUAUAGCACUUUCUGUACUCUACACAUGUAUGCUAUGUGACCGCUACCAUGUACAAGGUUCUGACAAGUAAUGGUACACAUCAUGGUUCAGCUAGCAGAAACUGUCAGCCAUUUUAGGCUUUAGUUUGCUUUUCUUUCUUAUAUGCUCCAGUAAUUUAUUUAACAGACUUAAUGAAUGUAAAUACUAAGUUCUGUGUUUGCUCUCAACUAGCCUUUUCUCUCUUCUUUGUCUUUGAUUCUGCCUGGUAUUCCAAAAAUUCUAACAGUGUUGCCUUUAUUCAGUCCAAAUAAGUGGGCCUCAAUCGAUAUGUGACAACCCAAAAUACUUUGAAUAUUCUCAGUCAUAGGAGUAAUAAGAUUCGAAUUUAAAAUCAUUUACUUCAGGACGACCCAUCUUAACAAAUGAAUCAAUCAAUUAUAUGUUGAUUAUAAUAUAUUAAAUAUAAUAUAUUUUAUAUGAGAAAGUAAGAUAGACCUAGCUUCUCCUGUAGCCUCUUUCCUUAAAUAACUUUCAGUGGGUAAAAAUUAACAUAAUGUUAUGAGUAAAAUGUUGAUCCUGCCAAAUUUAGACAAAAUUCUAACAGACCCUUCCAUAAUCAGGGGGUUUUAUCAGGAUUUAUGCAUCUGCAAACGACCAAACAAAGCUAACUAUAUAUUGACAUAUGCACAAAGCUUACAAGUUUAUCAUGUGAAGUGUGUAGUUGCAAGAUGAUGAUCUAGUGAUGGAUGCUGAUCUUCUCUAAUGACUCUAUAUCUUUGAAGCUAUGACUCAGGGUAGUUCUUCUUUGCGACUUUUUAGCUAAACAACAAAGUGAAAUCAAAGAUGAAGCAAAAAUGAGGUUAUAUGUAAGACAAAACCACAUCUGUUUGAGAACUUGAGAUCCAUCUGUCCACCACCUUCAAGCGUACUACUUGUACGAAGGAGCCAUGAUGAGAACAUCUGAGCUAUCCAUGGUGCAUUCACUGUGAUUACAAUAAUGUAUUUCCACUCCAUUUCCAUGUUACCAGGAAGAUGAAGAUUCCAAGUUAUCUGUUUAGAAGGCCUAUCUCUUUCUGUAGCCACAUUAUCUUCUCACUGGUUGAACCUGCACCCGUGAGUUCCAUGUCUAAUUCCAU